Molecule: ribosomal RNA, 402 nt
Filed under: uncultured bacterium
Lineage: Bacteria
Description: bacterial SSU rRNA
Rfam family: Bacterial small subunit ribosomal RNA
Source: RNAcentral
UGGGGAAUAUUGGACAAUGGGCGCAAGCCUGAUCCAGCCAUGCCGCGUGAGUGAUGAAGGCCCUAGGGUUGUAAAGCUCUUUCACCGGUGAAGAUAAUGACGGUAACCGGAGAAGAAGCCCCGGCUAACUUCGUGCCAGCAGCCGCGGUAAUACGAAGGGGGCUAGCGUUGUUCGGAUUUACUGGGCGUAAAGCGCACGUAGGCGGACUUUUAAGUCAGGGGUGAAAUCCCGGGGCUCAACCCCGGAACUGCCUUUGAUACUGGGAGUCUUGAGUUCGGGAGAGGUCAGUGGAACUGCGAGUGUAGAGGUGAAAUUCGUAGAUAUUCGCAAGAACACCAGUGGCGAAGGCGGCUCACUGGCCCGGUACUGACACUGAGGUGCGAAAGCGUGGGGAGCAAACA